AUGAUACUCUCUUCGUCCCAAAAUUCUUGUCUUAGAUUUGUCUAGAUACAGACAUCUGUAUCUAGACAAAUCUAAGACAAGAAUUUUGAGACGGAGGGAGUACCAA
Triticum aestivum (bread wheat) is the source of this 106-nucleotide non-coding RNA. NCBI's taxonomy places the organism in Eukaryota, Viridiplantae, Streptophyta, Magnoliopsida, Poales, Poaceae. The record is from Rfam.